RNAcentral lists this long non-coding RNA (2727 nucleotides) under Macaca fascicularis (crab-eating macaque). Its description in RNAcentral is "lncRNA (ENSMFAG00000049028.1)". The record is from RNAcentral. Lineage: Eukaryota; Metazoa; Chordata; Mammalia; Primates; Cercopithecidae.
AUGGGCAGACUGAGGGGGGCCUGGCGCGCUCCGCCGUGGUUCCGAGUGGGGGUUGGAGACUGUGUUGUGGGUCCGGGAAGAAGGGAGCGUGGAAAGGUGCCGGGUUCUCGGACGCUCUUUCUGUCCACCGCCACCCUCCUCCCCGUUCUGAGAGUGGGAUUAAGUCGUGUCUGUGGGUCUGGCCGUCUCCGGAGUCUGCCGCUUGGGGCUGAUUCCUCGGUGUCUACCUCCUGUUGCAGGUCCUUAAUAAUUCAACAGAGACAUGAUAACUUUUUUGGAUGGAUCAAUACUUCUUGCCAGUCAGCAUAUACACACCCAGUGACCUUGCAUGAAGAAACAUCCUGUCUGCAGAAGAUUGUGUCUCAUCUACACCAAGCAGGAGUGGUGUUGUCAGUGUGUGUGCACGCAUUUAUGUAUCUGUAUGCUUGUGCAGAGAGGGGAAGAUGGGGGAGGGGAUGUGGGUUUGUUACUUAGCUUGCUUGAUUUUUAUCCACAGUUUUUAAGAGGUAAAAUAUUGUAGCUCAACCCCUAGAAGUGGUCGUUAGCUUUACAGAGAGGAAAAUCUCUGUCACAUGACCAUGGCUUGCACUUCCAGCCCCAAAAGGCAAAAAGAGGGAGCACGUAACUCAGUGGAAUCAAUAGCAUGACCAGAAAGUCAAUUCAGUCAUAUGAUGGUGGAUCAGUAUCUUCACUCUAAAGGAGAGGAGAUCACUGUUACUGUUAGAUGUGCCACUCUGACUUUCCCCCAUCACUGUGGAAAAAGGAGGGAAAAAAACCCUCAAUCAUAAUAGGAAAGGUAAACAGUUUUUUGAACUGACAAACGUAUGUACAUGUCUUCCUCUGUAUUAUUUUAUAUAUGUUGUUUUUAUGUAUGUACCAGUACAAAGAGAUGUAAAUAUCACUUAACCUUGAGUAAUAUAAUAGUAUGUGUGAAUUCUAAUUAAUAGGUUUUAAUUCCAUUAAGUAUUAAUAAUUAACGGUAACUUCAUUGAGUGUGAGAAUUCCACAAGUUUGCGUUAGAAUUCUGAAUGACAUUUUGUUUUUGCUUUACUGGGUUUUGAUAUGUCAGACAAGAGAAUUCAACUUUUCUCCUGUGUGAAUGAAUUCAAUAGUCUGUUGUGAGAGAUGCCAGUUUUCAGGUUGCAUCCACCAUUUUUAUUUUUAGCUCCAUCUGUUGUCUUUUAUCAAGUCGCUAUUAAAACUCUGAUAAAAUACUUGGUUUGUGGCAUUGAUAUUGUCCCCACCAGCUUCCCUAAAAUGAGCGCUCCAAUUCUAGUCCCCAAACAUGUUCUUAUGCUCCCCAGCAUUGCAUGGGUAUACUAGUCUACUAUCAGAAAGAGCCUAUUUUUAUUUGAGGCCAGUUCAUGGACAUGUCAGAGUCUCAGAGUCCUAACAGUUUUCAGUGGGGCUUUUUCUAGAACAUAUGGAUGGAAUUUGUCUCCAGUUGACAUCCAAAAGUCUCGUCUUCCUGGAUUUCCUUCCUCCUCUUGCCCCCUCUGCCCUUUCCCACUACCCCAGUUCCUAGCAUCUCCCUGACCCUUGGGUUAGAGCCCAGGGAGAAGCACCACCGAAUCCAACCUGGGAAAAUGACAGGAAGUACGUGCAUUCUUAAAAGUGGGGCACUUGCUGUUAUUGAUCAUCUAUUUUAACAUAACUUGGAUGCAGUAGUAUUAAUUUGUAUAUUAAUAUUUUAUUUAAUAAUAAUAAUUGAGGCUGCCCUCUAUAUCAGAGGUAAGCAUAUACAGUACAGCCUGCUCUUUAAUUCCUUUUUCCUCACCUUACUCAAUUUUCUGUUGAUUAAAUGUUAGACUGAGAAUAAAAGUGUACUUGUUAGAUUUGGCUACUUAUUGUAAGCUGCAAUUUUGGCUAGGCAUAGCGUGGCUCAUACCUGUAAUCUCAGCACAUUGAAAGGCCGAGGUGGGAGGAUGGCUUGAGACCAGGAGUUUGGGACCAGCCUGGGCAACAUAGCAAGACCCCGUCUCUACAAAAACUAAAAAAUAAAAAAACGAAAAGAAAGCUGCAGUUUAAAUGUGACUCUAAUCACACUAUUAAACAGUGUACGUUCUUGUAACUAAUACAGAAGUUUGAUUCAUGACAAAUUUAGUUAUUAAUAAAUGAGGCCUCAAUAUGGUAUUCAAAGAAAAUACUUGUGGAAUGAAAGACAUCUUUUGUGACUAUACAGUGAGGGAAGUCUCAAAGUCUGUUACUUCUUUAUAGUUCUCUCUCCAACAAAAUAUUAUCUCUGUGGAUGACAGAUCUUCAAUAUCUUGCUCUUACCUAUCUUUAUUAUCUUUAUCCCAAUUGGUUUCAGUUUCCCUCCUCUGCAAGCAAUUGUCUUUAUUUCGUCAUUCAGAUAGACUGAGCCUUUCGAAAGCCGUUGGAUCAACAGGAGCCAGAAAAUUAUAUAUGCACGCUGUAUGUUUAAUACUGGUGUGCAAUCUGAUUACUGUAAGCACAAUGUUUUUUAAAAAAUCUGUUCAAACAGAGUUUAUACGAAUAGCCACCUUUGUUCUCUCAGGCUUACCCGAGUGGAAAAAAUCCUUUUGAGGCUAUAAAAGAACUUGUGGUACAAUAUUGAUUAAUCAGUAAUGCAAAUUAGCUUUGAGUUUACCAUUCAAAUGUGGAAAAAUAUCUUUGAAUAAAAAAGUGAGACCCUCACUUCUGGCUCUGUGCUUCUUUCAGUGGUAGAUUCUCUCAGACAUACCUCCCUCAUAAUGAUGAUGAGGA